RNAcentral lists this ribosomal RNA (460 nucleotides) under uncultured archaeon. Its description in RNAcentral is "bacterial SSU rRNA". It matches the Rfam family "Archaeal small subunit ribosomal RNA", at positions 24 to 458 of the family's 1478-position model. The record is from RNAcentral.
CCCGACUGCUAUCGGAUUGAGAUUUAGCCAUGCGAGUCGAACGUCCCUCUGUUGCGGGGGGCGUGGCGUACGGCUCAGUAACACGUAGUCAACCUGCCCUGGAGACAAUGACAACCCCGGGAAACUGGGAUUAAUUCAUGGUAGGUCACCUCAUCUGGAAGGAGAGAUGGCUCAAAGGGGUGCGCGGGCUUCUUCUGCGUACUUGCUCCAGGAUGGGACUGCGUCCGAUCAGGCUGUUGGCGGGGUAAUGGCCCACCAAACCUGUAACCGGUACGGGCCUUGAGAGAGGUGGCCCGGAGAUGGACACUGAGAGAAGGGUCCAGGUCCUACGGGGCGCAGCAGGCGCGAAACCUUCACAAUGCGCGAAAGCGUGAUGAGGUUAAUCCGAGUGGUCCCCGCUGAGGGGAUCUUUUGUUGGCUCUAAAACGGCCAGUGAAUAAGGGGAGGGCAAGUCUGGUGU